This 462-nucleotide ribosomal RNA is filed under the name uncultured bacterium. RNAcentral's name for it is "partial 16S ribosomal RNA". It matches the Rfam family "Bacterial small subunit ribosomal RNA", at positions 28 to 507 of the family's 1533-position model. The record is from RNAcentral.
GACGAACGCUGGCGGCGUGCUUAACACAUGCAAGUCGAACGGAAAGGCCCUUCGGGGUACUCGAGUGGCGAACGGGUGAGUAACACGUGGGUGAUCUGCCCUGCACUUUGGGAUAAGCCUGGGAAACUGGGUCUAAUACCGAAUAGGACCGCGCGCUUCAUGGUGUGUGGUGGAAAGCUUUUGCGGUGUGGGAUGGGCCCGCGGCCUAUCAGCUUGUUGGUGGGGUAAUGGCCUACCAAGGCGACGACGGGUAGCCGGCCUGAGGGGGUGACCGGCCACACUGGGACUGAGAUACGGCCCAGACUCCUACGGGAGGCAGCAGUGGGGAAUAUUGCACAAUGGGCGCAAGCCUGAUGCAGCGACGCCGCGUGAGGGAUGACGGCCUUCGGGUUGUAAACCUCUUUCACCAGGGACGAAGCGCAAGUGACGGUACCUGGAGAAGAAGCACCGGCCAACUACGUG